AGUGAACGCUGGCGGUAGGCCUAACACAUGCAAGUCGAACGGCAGCACAGUAAGAGCUUGCUCUUACGGGUGGCGAGUGGCGGACGGGUGAGGAAUACAUCGGAAUCUACUUUUUCGUGGGGGAUAACGUAGGGAAACUUACGCUAAUACCGCAUACGACCUACGGGUGAAAGCGGGGGAUCUUCGGACCUUGCGCGAUUGAAUGAGCCGAUGUCGGAUUAGCUAGUUGGCGGGGUAAAGGCCCACCAAGGCGACGAUCCGUAGCUGGUCUGAGAGGAUGAUCAGCCACACUGGAACUGAGACACGGUCCAGACUCCUACGGGAGGCAGCAGUGGGGAAUAUUGGACAAUGGGCGCAAGCCUGAUCCAGCCAUACCGCGUGGGCGAAGAAGGCCUUCGGGUUGUAAAGCCCUUUUGUUGGGAAAGAAAAGCAGCAGGUUAAUACCCCGCUGUUCUGACGGUACCCAAAGAAUAAGCACCGGCUAACUUCGUG
RNAcentral lists this ribosomal RNA (492 nucleotides) under uncultured bacterium. RNAcentral's name for it is "partial 16S ribosomal RNA". It matches the Rfam family "Bacterial small subunit ribosomal RNA", at positions 29 to 507 of the family's 1533-position model. The record is from RNAcentral.